This 537-nucleotide ribosomal RNA is filed under the name Enterobacteriaceae bacterium HGH0102. RNAcentral's name for it is "bacterial SSU rRNA". It matches the Rfam family "Bacterial small subunit ribosomal RNA", at positions 172 to 704 of the family's 1533-position model. Lineage: Bacteria; Pseudomonadati; Pseudomonadota; Gammaproteobacteria; Enterobacterales; Enterobacteriaceae. The record is from RNAcentral.
CAUAACGUCGCAAGACCAAAGAGGGGGACCUUCGGGCCUCUUGCCAUCGGAUGUGCCCAGAUGGGAUUAGCUAGUAGGUGGGGUAACGGCUCACCUANGCUACGAUCCCUAGCUGGUCUGAGAGGAUGACCAGCCACACUGGAACUGAGACACGGUCCAGACUCCUACGGGAGGCAGCAGUGGGGAAUAUUGCACAAUGGGCGCAAGCCUGAUGCAGCCAUGCCGCGUGUAUGAAGAAGGCCUUCGGGUUGUAAAGUACUUUCAGCGGGGAGGAAGGGAGUAAAGUUAAUACCUUUGCUCAUUGACGUUACCCGCAGAAGAAGCACCGGCUAACUCCGUGCCAGCAGCCGCGGUAAUACGGAGGGUGCAAGCGUUAAUCGGAAUUACUGGGCGUAAAGCGCACGCAGGCGGUUUGUUAAGUCAGAUGUGAAAUCCCCGGGCUCAACCUGGGAACUGCAUCUGAUACUGGCAAGCUUGAGUCUCGUAGAGGGGGGUAGAAUUCCAGGUGUAGCGGUGAAAUGCGUAGAGAUCUGGAGG